Molecule: ribosomal RNA, 301 nt
Filed under: uncultured bacterium
Lineage: Bacteria
Description: partial 16S ribosomal RNA
Rfam family: Bacterial small subunit ribosomal RNA
Source: RNAcentral
CAGUAGCCGCGGGAACACGUAGGGCGCAAGCGUUGUCCGGAAUUAUUGGGCGUAAAGAGCUCGUAGGCGGUUUGUCGCGUCUGCUGUGAAAACUCGAGGCUCAACCUCGGGCUUGCAGUGGGUACGGGCAGACUAGAGUGCGGUAGGGGAGACUGGAAUUCCUGGUGUAGCGGUGGAAUGCGCAGAUAUCAGGAGGAACACCGAUGGCGAAGGCAGGUCUCUGGGCCGCAACUGACGCUGAGGAGCGAAAGCAUGGGGAGCGAACAGGAUUAGAUACCCCUGUAGUCCCUGUCUCUUAUAA